AGCUGAAGCCUCCGAUCGGUUUCCCCGCCCUUCUGUAGGAAAUCAAAUUCAGGGAACAUGUUUCAACCUCAGAGCUUACUUUUUGGCCAAACGGAUGAAGGGGUAAGCCACCGUGGAAGUCCCAGCAGAUACCCCCACCAUCGCCCCAUCCAUCCUGGGAGGUUCGGUGGCCCUCGAGGCAGAGACAUGGACUGUGGCUGGGGUAUUGGGGGCAGAUGUUCAAUGUGUUGGGGUGUGGAGAGGGUAGAUUGGCAGCCUACUGAGGAUUAAAGGGGUGUCCUGCAAACCAGCUCCGGGGUCUGGGUCCGGACCUUCCAGGGACUCAGUUCCGCACCCUUUGAACAGAUCAAGACAGAGCACUUCCUUGCUCUGGGAUGGUCGCCUCAGCCACCGAGACAGCAGAAGUCGUUGAAUUCAAAGCAGAAUAAAGGGGUGCG
RNAcentral lists this long non-coding RNA (437 nucleotides) under Homo sapiens (human). Its description in RNAcentral is "HSALNT0245992". The record is from RNAcentral. Lineage: Eukaryota; Metazoa; Chordata; Mammalia; Primates; Hominidae.